This 499-nucleotide ribosomal RNA is filed under the name uncultured Paenibacillaceae bacterium. Its description in RNAcentral is "partial 16S ribosomal RNA". The record is from RNAcentral. Lineage: Bacteria; Bacillati; Bacillota; Bacilli; Caryophanales; Paenibacillaceae.
CACGUAGUUAGCCGGGGCUUUCUUCUCAGGUACCGUCACUCCGAGUUCAGUUACUAACCCGGACGUUCUUCCCUGGCAACAGAGCUUUACGAUCCGAAAACCUUCAUCACUCACGCGGCGUUGCUCCGUCAGACUUGCGUCCAUUGCGGAAGAUUCCCUACUGCUGCCUCCCGUAGGAGUCUGGGCCGUGUCUCAGUCCCAGUGUGGCCGAUCACCCUCUCAGGUCGGCUACGCAUCGUCGCCUUGGUGAGCCGUUACCUCACCAACUAGCUAAUGCGCCGCAGGCCCAUCCUCAAGUGACAGAUUGCUCCGUCUUUCCAAAUUCGUUCAGGCGAACAAAUCAUGUAUUCGGUAUUAGCUACCGUUUCCGGUAGUUGUCCCAAGCUUGAGGGCAGGUUGCCUACGUGUUACUCACCCGUCCGCCGCUAAGUAUCCGAGAAGCAAGCUUCUCGUCAACUCCGCUCGACUUGCAUGUAUUAGGCACGCCGCCAGCGUUCGU